UACAUGGGGUGCAAACGUUGCUCGGAAUUAUUGGGCGUAAAGCGCACGUAGGCGGUUUGUUAAGUCGGAUGUGAAAUCCCUCGGCUCAACUGAGGAAGUGCAUCCGAAACUGGCAGGCUUGAGUACUAAAGAGGGUCGCGGAAUUCCCGGUGUAGAGGUGAAAUUCGUAGAUAUCGGGAGGAACACCGGUGGCGAAGGCGGCGACCUGGGUAGAUACUGACGCUGAGGUGCGAAAGCGUGGGGAGCAAACAGGG
Molecule: ribosomal RNA, 254 nt
Filed under: uncultured bacterium
Lineage: Bacteria
Description: partial 16S ribosomal RNA
Rfam family: Bacterial small subunit ribosomal RNA
Source: RNAcentral